CAGUCGCCGCGGUAAAACGGAGGGGGCUAGCGUUGUUCGGAAUUACUGGGCGUAAAGCGCACGUAGGCGGAUCAGAAAGUCAGGGGCGAAAUCCCAGGGCUCAACCUUGGAACUGCCUUUGAAACUCCUGGUCUUGAGGUCGAGAGAGGUGAGUGGAAUUCCGAGUGUAGAGGUGAAAUUCGUAGAUAUUCGGAGGAACACCAGUGGCGAAGGCGGCUCACUGGCUCGAUACUGACGCUGAGGUGCGAAAGCGUGGGGAGCAAACAGGAUUAGAUACCCCGGUAGUCCCUGUCUCUUAUAC
RNAcentral lists this ribosomal RNA (301 nucleotides) under uncultured bacterium. RNAcentral describes it as "partial 16S ribosomal RNA". It matches the Rfam family "Bacterial small subunit ribosomal RNA", at positions 509 to 807 of the family's 1533-position model. The record is from RNAcentral.